AUGCCGAAACAAGAUCUGCAAUGGCAGUAUGUGUCAGUGUGUGUCCACGAGAGACUUCUACCCCUCAGCACAGCCAUUGUCAGUCACUGGGACAGCACACAGCACUCCUCUGAGCAGCCCACAGAUGCCUAUGGAGAACUGGAGUUUGUAGGGGCUGGCAAGAGACACAGCUAUGAGUGGAUCAUAACCGCAGGACUGAGGGAAGGCAUCGGCAAGUGUGUAGGAGAGGCUGUGAGAGAUCAGGCCACUGCAGUGUCUUCUGUACCUUGAUUUGGACAAGCAUUAGAUACAUCUCUGAUGAAUUCAAUGCCCUGAUUAGUCCUGGCUGGUUCGGGUGGGCUUGCCAAUCUUGUGAGUGACAUUGUGGACAACGUGCAGUCUGCUUCGGUGCCUGUACUUGGAGCAGAGAAGAAGGAAGCCACUCCCAAUGUGGAGCUUAGAGAACGAAUAGCCAUGAAAGUAAAAAAAUACUUUCCUUCAGAGCGAGACAUGGACAAGCUUGUUGACAAGGUGAACGUCACACUCUUUACUUAAUCAUGUAACACCAUCAAAGUGGGCUAUUUUGUGUCAGAACUUAAGAAACCUCCCCAGCUCAAAUUUUGGAUUUUUUAAAGCAUUUUUCUGAAGAAAGACAAACAUAA
This is a long non-coding RNA of Cyprinus carpio (common carp), 641 nucleotides long. NCBI's taxonomy places the organism in Eukaryota, Metazoa, Chordata, Actinopteri, Cypriniformes, Cyprinidae. The record is from Ensembl.